UGGAAAUGAGGACAAAGCGCAAUUCUGAAGUUCUCUUUGAAGACUUCUAAUCCAACUCUGAUCCUAACACUGUG
Small nucleolar RNA from Xiphias gladius (swordfish), 74 nucleotides. RefSeq annotates it as small nucleolar RNA SNORD19. The transcript has a single exon. The record is from RefSeq and is a predicted model, not a curated record. NCBI's taxonomy places the organism in Eukaryota, Metazoa, Chordata, Actinopteri, Istiophoriformes, Xiphiidae.